RNAcentral lists this ribosomal RNA (472 nucleotides) under uncultured bacterium. RNAcentral's name for it is "partial 16S ribosomal RNA". It matches the Rfam family "Bacterial small subunit ribosomal RNA", at positions 28 to 507 of the family's 1533-position model. The record is from RNAcentral.
GACGAACGCUGGCGGCGUGCUUAACACAUGCCAGUCGAACGAUGAACCCGGAGCUUGCUCUGGGGGAUUAGUGGCGAACGGGUGAGUAACACGUGAGUAACCUGCCCUGGACUCUGGGAUAAGCGUUGGAAACGACGUCUAAUACCGGAUAGGACCUUGGAUCGCAUGAUCUGGGGUGGAAAGUUUUUUCGGUCUGGGAUGGACUCGCGGCCUAUCAGCUUGUUGGUGAGGUAAUGGCUCACCAAGGCGUCGACGGGUAGCCGGCCUGAGAGGGUGACCGGCCACACUGGGACGGAGACACGGCACAGACUCCUACGGGAGGCAGCAGUGGGGGAUAUUGCACAAUGGGCGAAAGCCUGAUGCAGCAACGCCGCGUGCGGGAGGACGGCCUUCGGGUUGUAAACCGAUUUUAGUAGGGAAGAAGGGCUUCGGCUUGACGGUACCUGCAGAAAAAGGACCGGCUAACUACGUG